Molecule: long non-coding RNA, 1437 nt
Organism: Nothoprocta perdicaria
Lineage: Eukaryota; Metazoa; Chordata; Aves; Tinamiformes; Tinamidae
Exons: 3
Source: RefSeq, a predicted model, not a curated record
GGGGACACGACGACGUGAGAGUCAUCACAACAAUUCUGGCUCUGGCUCCUCCUCUCCUGAAGGACUCAGGGAGUGUGUUUCCGGAAUUUGAUCCCGGACACCCAGGGAUGGUGGAGAACUGGCUACGGAGACACCCCAAAUUGCUACUCACUCUUUGUGCUGUCCACAAGGACUUCUGUGGCAAGCCUAGGUUUCUGCACAUCCAAAAACAAGGCAGCUGACAACUGUGCCUGAAAUGAAUAUUCCGUGCAGUAUUCUUCUUGCUGGUGAGCCCUGCUGGACCYGCCUGUUGAAAACGGUGGGGCAGAAGGACUCUCCACUGCAUUUCCCAGUGCUCUGACCUCUCCAGACACCUCGUUUCCUGUUAUGGGCUUCAUCUGAAGCUGCAGAGGAUGGACAGGGGACAACUAAGAUAGAAGCACGUGGGAGUGUUUCACCUUCCCCAGAGAACUGCAUGCACCUUUAGCUCUGUGCUGAAGUGACUUGCUAAUCUCAGAACCGAAGUGGAAGAGUUCACAGUUCUAGUUAUUUCAUCGUAUUUCUAGGACGACAAAUUCAAAGAAAUACUUAAAAAUACAACUUCUCAGCACAUCAGAUGACGCAUUUGACCUAGAAGUAAUUGUGCAUUUUUUUUUUGUUCUGUUUUUGCCUGAAGAGAAAUCUUAAGGAGAAACAACCAGACUAUAUGACAGGUCCAAACUGUGGCUCCUCAAGGUGUAUAGUUGUGUGGGUUGARCGGGACAUGACUAAUCUGCACGCUGCACAUUCAGUUUUGUUCCAGGAUCCUGAURCUCUGCACUAGUAGGGCAGCCCAGUCCCAUUGAGUGGGGUGUCAUUAAAGGAUCAAUGUGCAUGUUACACCAUAACUGCUUGGGAGAGGCAGUUUUGCAGCUCAGAUAAAGUGAUUUUGAGGUGGACCUGGAAAGAGAUCAGACCAGAAUUUACCCAUACGUUUGCMCCUUCUUUGGGGAUAUUCUUGUUUGAUCUAGAACGGAAAAGCCUCCUAUCUGCACAGCAGUGGGUCACAGCUGGAAAAGCACCUUCCUAUCAUGUGUUUUCUUUCCAGAUUCCCAGCUGUGUAGGUCGCUGACUCGAGAGGAAGGAAGGAAGGAGCUCUCUUGGUAUUGUUAAAGCUAGCUGAAUGUACAGCACCUACCAUGCAGCGGAUGCUGCCAGAGACAAACAGUACAUCCUAAUAAAGAUAGUGCUUCAGGUAGGCCAAAUGAGGUCUCAGAUCGGUGCUCUUUGCAAGAACUGCUGUGCAAUCGUGUUCUCAAAUGUGCUGCCAGAGCUGAAUAAACACCUGGGAUCCAUACAUAGCUUCUGAUAAUAACACUAGCUUCUACCUCAGGCAUUUAAACUAAAGCUUUAUAAAGGAGGUCAGURGCACUGCCCUGUUUCACAGCUGGAGAAAUCGAAGAAAGGAGGUGAAAUGAC